GUUGUCGGGUCUUAAUUGACUUGGUAACGCAGCUAACGCGUGAAGUAGACCGCCUGGGGAGUACGGUCGCAAGAUUAAAACUCAAAGGAAUUGACGGGGACCCGCACAAGCGGUGGAUGAUGUGGAUUAAUUCGAUGCAACGCGAAAAACCUUACCUACCCUUGACAUGGAAGGAAUCCUUGAGAGAUUGAGGAGUGCCCGAAAGGGAACCUUUACACAGGUGCUGCAUGGCUGUCGUCAGCUCGUGUCGUGAGAUGUUGGGUUAAGUCCCGCAACGAGCGCAACCCUUGUCAUUAGUUGCUACGAAAGGGCACUCUAAUGAGACUGCCGGUGACAAACCGGAGGAAGGUGGGGAUGACGUCAAGUCCUCAUGGCCCUUAUGGGUAGGGCUUCACACGUCAUACAAUGGUACAUACAGAGGGCCGCCAACCCGCGAGGGGGAGCAAAUCCCAGAAAGUGUAUCGUAGUCCGGAUUGUAGUCUGCAACUCGACUGCAUGAAGUUGGAAUCGCUAGUAAUCGCGGAUCAGCAUGUCGCGGUGAAUACGUUCCCGGGUCUUGUACACACCGCCCGUCACACCAUGGGAGCGGGUUUUACCAGAAGUAGGUAGCUUAACCGUAAGGAGGGCGCUUACCACGGUAGGAUUCGUGACUGGGGUGAAGUCGUACAGGGAAACCCGUAAA
Molecule: ribosomal RNA, 682 nt
Filed under: Massilia sp.
Lineage: Bacteria; Pseudomonadati; Pseudomonadota; Betaproteobacteria; Burkholderiales; Oxalobacteraceae
Description: bacterial SSU rRNA
Rfam family: Bacterial small subunit ribosomal RNA
Source: RNAcentral